GAUGAACGCUAGCGGCAGGCCUAACACAUGCAAGUCGAGGGGCAGCACAGAAACAGCAAUGUUUUGGUGGCGACCGGCGGACGGGUGCGUAACGCGUAUGCAACCUACCUUUAACAGGGGGAUAACGGAGGGAAAUUUCCACUAAUACCCCAUAACAUCGAUCAAGGCAUCUUGAUUGGUUGAAAACUCCGGUGGUUAAAGAUGGGCAUGCGUUGUAUUAGGUAGUUGGUGAGGUAAUGGCUCACCAAGCCUACGAUACAUAGGGGGACUGAGAGGUUAGCACCCCACACUGGUACUGAGACACGGACCAGACUCCUACGGGAGGCAGCAGUGAGGAAUAUUGGUCAAUGGGGGCAACCCUGAACCAGCCAUGCCGCGUGCAGGAAGACGGCUCUAUGAGUUGUAAACUGCUUUUAAACAGGGAUAAAGCACAGUAUGUAUACUGUGUUGAAGGUACUGUAAGAAUAAGGAUCGGCUAACUCCGUGCCAGCCGCCGCAGUAA
This 502-nucleotide ribosomal RNA is filed under the name uncultured bacterium. RNAcentral describes it as "partial 16S ribosomal RNA". It matches the Rfam family "Bacterial small subunit ribosomal RNA", at positions 28 to 523 of the family's 1533-position model. The record is from RNAcentral.